CUCAGCAUCAUGCACUCCACAUACGAGUCUAGAGUUAAACACUCUAAGUUCGUCUGGGGGAGCGUCAUCAUCUGCUUUGUUCAGUAGCGCAAAUCCCACUGCCAGGCCUCCUGCCUCAGCAUCAUGCACUCCACAUACGAGUCUUGACUUAAGCACUCCAAGUCCUUCUGGGGGAGCAUCAUCUUCUGGUACAUGUGGUACGCCAUUGUCUUCGGCUGCACCGACACCUGCAGUUAC
Long non-coding RNA from Ornithodoros turicata, 237 nucleotides. RefSeq lists it as uncharacterized. The transcript has 3 exons. The record is from RefSeq and is a predicted model, not a curated record. NCBI's taxonomy places the organism in Eukaryota, Metazoa, Arthropoda, Arachnida, Ixodida, Argasidae.